GCUGGUGUGGCAGUGCCCACCUGUAAUCCCAGGUACUCAGGAGGCUGAAGCAGGAGGAUCACCUGAGUCCAGAAGUUCUAGGCUGUGGUGCACUAUGCCAAUCAGGUGUCCACACUAAAAUUGGCAUCCACAUGGCGAUCUUCCAGGAGCAGGGGACCACAGGGUUGCCUAAAGAGGGGUGAAUCAGCCCAGGUCAACAAUGGAGCAUGUUGAAACUCUUGUGCUGGUCGGUAUUGGGAAUGUGCCUGUGAAUAGCCACUGCACUCUAUCCUGAGCAACAUAGUGAGACCACCGUCUCU
This is an unclassified non-coding RNA of Cercocebus atys (sooty mangabey), 299 nucleotides long. It matches the Rfam family "Metazoan signal recognition particle RNA". From Rfam's summary of the family: The signal recognition particle (SRP) is a universally conserved ribonucleoprotein. It is involved in the co-translational targeting of proteins to membranes. NCBI's taxonomy places the organism in Eukaryota, Metazoa, Chordata, Mammalia, Primates, Cercopithecidae. The record is from Ensembl.